RNAcentral lists this ribosomal RNA (157 nucleotides) under Stegodyphus mimosarum. Its description in RNAcentral is "5.8S ribosomal RNA". It matches the Rfam family "5.8S ribosomal RNA". Rfam says of the family: 5.8S ribosomal RNA (5.8S rRNA) is a component of the large subunit of the eukaryotic ribosome. It is transcribed by RNA polymerase I as part of the 45S precursor that also contains 18S and 28S rRNA. The record is from Rfam by way of RNAcentral. Lineage: Eukaryota; Metazoa; Arthropoda; Arachnida; Araneae; Eresidae.
CCCUCUGAGAAAUGGAUCAUUCGGCUCAGGGGUCGAUGAAGAACGCAACCAGGUGCGAGACGAUGUGAACUCCAUGGCACACUGAGCACUGAUUCUACUUCUACAAAAGAGAACAUAGAGAGUAGAUCCACUUUUUGUCAUUAUUUUUUUUUUGUUU